This 330-nucleotide ribosomal RNA is filed under the name uncultured eukaryote. Its description in RNAcentral is "partial 18S ribosomal RNA". It matches the Rfam family "Eukaryotic small subunit ribosomal RNA", at positions 1470 to 1796 of the family's 1831-position model. The record is from RNAcentral.
CCCUUAGACGUUCUGGGCCGCACGCGCGCUACACUGAAGGAAUCAGCACGUCUUUCUCCUUGUCCGAAAGGACUGGGUAACCCGCUGAACCUCCUUCGUGCUAGGGAUUGGGGCUUGUAAUUCUUCCCCAUGAACGAGGAAUUCCCAGUAAGCGCGAGUCAUAAGCUCGCGUUGAUUACGUCCCUGCCCUUUGUACACACCGCCCGUCGCUACUACCGAUUGGAUGGUUUAGUGAGAUCCUCGGAUUGGUCCCGGCGCGGCCCCUGGUCGUGCCGGAGUGCCGAAAAGAAUGUCGAACUUGAUCAUCUAGAGGAAGUAAAAGUCGUAACA